ACUUCAUCUCUAGUUCUUGGACCUUUAAAUUUGUUGCUGUUUGUUAAUAUAUAAUAUGAAAAUGCUUUUUUAUUUAAGUGUUUUAAAAUUCCAGCAAAACCACUGACAGAAGCUAUCUAUGUUUUUCCCUAAUUUUGGUUUUCAGUAACACUGUAUCAUAUUUCUGAGUAGCUUCCCUUCUUCAAAAUUGUUGGCCCCUGAACUAUUUGUAACUUCUCAGGAUAAACGUUUGUCUAUCAUAUUAAAUGCUGCAAGUUUGAAUUCUUAACUGCCAUCCUCUCUGCGCUUUCAACAGAUAAAGCUGCUUCCUUAGGAGAUGUCUCAUUCUGGUCAAGCAUCUUAGAAUUUCGUCCUGCAGAAAUAGCAAUUGCUCCUAUUUUCUGAAGAGUUGGAAGUAAAUGUCUCAAGCACACAAGAACAACUCUUUUUUGCCAAGUCUCUUAAAGUCCAUAGUGUCUCUCCACCCUUUGGUGGACUCUCUUGUCGUUAUUAUUAUUUUUUUUUUAAUUUAUAGUAGUUUUAUAAGAAUGAAGAAGAUUACCGGGUUUUAAUUAAGCAAAUUUAGGUAUGGCUAUAGUGAUGGUUUUUACGUAAAUUAUUGGAUUCUGCUAUUUGACAUUCUUCAUAUGAAAUUUGAAAUAACACUUUUUUUAACAAACAUAGCCUUAUUUUCAAAAAACACUUAAGUAAAUGGUUAAAUUCCUUUUUUUUUUUUUUUUUUUUCCCCCCUUUUUUCUUUUGCCUAUGUGUUUAUGAGCUUUGCUAACGUGGGGAAUGUGAUGACAGUAUUAUUCAUAUAAUUUCUUUUGUCAGCUACACAGUUCUCCAUAUCUGUCUUGCAUCAAUCAUGCUAAGCCAAAAUCUGUGAUUUCUAAUAAGUAAAGUUCUUGACUGUACAAGAAGUUUUGCUCAAUUUAAGACCUGAAGCAUUUGGCCUGUAUUUUUUCCUGUAUUAAAGAACCUCAUCAUGUUUACAUGAA
Anas platyrhynchos (mallard) is the source of this 980-nucleotide long non-coding RNA. RefSeq lists it as uncharacterized. NCBI's taxonomy places the organism in Eukaryota, Metazoa, Chordata, Aves, Anseriformes, Anatidae. The record is from RefSeq and is a predicted model, not a curated record.